AUCCCUUCCCGAACUCAGAAGUGAAACGACGCAUCGCCGAUGGUAGUGUGGGGUCUCCCCAUGUGAGAGUAGGUCAUCGUCAAGC
This 85-nucleotide ribosomal RNA is filed under the name Pseudomonas aeruginosa. Lineage: Bacteria; Pseudomonadati; Pseudomonadota; Gammaproteobacteria; Pseudomonadales; Pseudomonadaceae. The record is from RNAcentral. RNAcentral also lists the same sequence under 1 other name.